UGAGUCUUGGAGACUAUGUGUCAUUAUAUGAUUAAUCCACUUAUUAAGUAAUUUUAAAUUUUAACCUUAGUUAGUUAGUAUGUGAUGGUAUGAUUAUGAGUGAGGUGUAGUUUAGUAUUUAAGGCCUAUAAGUAGAGGGUUUGAGCUCACCUCUUUCCUCAUUCACUUAAAAGAUAAGCUUUAGAUAAAACGCUCUCAUAAUCUCUCUCAAUCUUAUUGUGCUCUCUAAUCAAAGCUACCAUCAAUAUUUUCUAUUAACCUAUUUUGUUCCCUUAAAGCUAAACCAUCGGCACUCCAAUUAUUUCAUCUUUUCCCUUCUUCCAUAGCCAAUCACUUAUUCUCCAAGAGCCAAGGCAGAACAUCAACAUCCUCUUUUAUUAUGACCACCAUCAUCCUCUCAUAAAUAUAUAAAUAUAUAUCCUUCAUUAUUGGCAUCACAUCACCAUCAUUUUACGUUCAAGUUUUAGUGUUCAACUAGAUCUUAUUGGAAGCUAAGGUUGUUCAUAAAAUAAUUUUUAGUUCUCAAGGAUCACUUUUGCAAUCAAGCUAGGAUCUCCACAUUCGAGACCAAGGUAACUGAAAGUCUAGAAUGCCGGGGGCGAGUGGAACUUUGGACGCUUGUGUGUGUGUGAACUCGCUGAGGGCCAUAUAACUGCGGGCGGUCUAGGACACUCUAUUUAUUUAUUUAUUUACGCUUUUAAGUUUAUGUCACAAUUAUUUUAGUUAUUAUUUAUUAUGUCUUUUGUACGAAAACUGGCCAGUUGUGAACAUUUUCAAGUAUUAAAUAAAAAUGCGACAUUAUAAUUUUCCGCA
Long non-coding RNA from Cannabis sativa, 813 nucleotides. RefSeq lists it as uncharacterized. The transcript is spliced from 3 exons. The record is from RefSeq and is a predicted model, not a curated record. Lineage: Eukaryota; Viridiplantae; Streptophyta; Magnoliopsida; Rosales; Cannabaceae.